AUGCUCACCAUGUGCCCGUCCUCAGGUCGGGGCACCAAGCCCAUCGUGGGCUUCCUCCUCCACUUGGGGCAGCUGCUCUCCACCUGUGUGCCCUUCUCCCUGGGGGCCAGUGAGGACACUCUGAAGGGGGACGUAAUUAACUGGUGCAUGUUCAUCUGGUGCAUCUGCUUCACCGUGACCCUCACCGUCUUCAUAGGGGAGUUUUGUGGGCUCUGCUCCUGCCUCCUUUUCUCCUGGGACGGCUUUCUCUGCACCCACACCUUUUACUUCUCCAUCUCCUGCCUCUGAACGUCCAUCAUCCUCGGCACCACCUACAUCAAGUUCUUUCUCCAGGCUCCACCAGAAACUGGGUCAUCACUGCCACUGCAUUCGCCUUCGUGGCUGCUGCACUGUAUCCACUGAAGCGUUCUGCAUCAUAUCCAGCCUGGAGGCAUGGUCGGUUCAAGCCAGCCUUCCCAGGCCUGCUCAGGAGGCCAGAGAACUAUGCUGACUGGCUCAUCAUCGCCUUCAUCAGCAGCCCCCACCAGUGUCAGCAACAGCCAGCCGUACAUUCGUGGUGGUGGACUUCGUAUGCUUCCUCCUGGAAGGCACUGUGAACUUCAUAGUGAAGGGGUUUGAUCGAGUCAAAGACAAAAAGCUCUGUUCCCUACCUGUGUCCUGUCUGAGCAGACGGUGCUCUCUGUGCUCCUCUGCCCUAGUGCUCUGGUCCUCUGUCAGCUCCACCAGUUCAACAAGAAGCUGGAUGGGCAGCCCCAGCGGUCCAGUGACGUGAGCUGCAGCAACAGACGCACCUGCUCGGUGUGCGCCGGGGACCAGCGGCUGGCUGUGGCCGUCCUAUCCAGCUGCUGCUUGAUGAGGCCGACACUGAGCACCUGGCCUGUGAGGCUAUCGUAGGCUAUUGUAGGGACUAAGAGUCUUGAAGACUGCUGUCUGCAGUGUUGGUGAGGGGCAGUGGUGUGGCCGUCCUGCCUUAAUGAUCAAAACAGCAGGUCCUGCCUCUGCAGGGAGAAGGGCAUCGCCACUGCCAGCAUUAAAGGGGAUGUUAGUCUGGGUGUUUUAUUUUUCUUUAAAUUUUGUUGUCCCAAGAGUAAAAAUUACUGGGCAACUAUAUUUUUACAUGGAAAAUUUCUUUUCAAAACUUUGUUGAUGGGUGGUGUUGGAUGGGUGGGCACUGCUGAUGCCACAGUCGAGGAAACUGUGUUGCUUGAGUUUGUGCUGCACAGACAUGUGUUUCUAUGUGUCAGCUGUUUUCUGAUGCUGCUUCCUGCUUCUCCAGGAUCCACACAUAAUAUGAUCUAGAUAAAUGUAAAUAUACAUGGAUUUUUUAAUUCUCUGGAAUUU
RNAcentral lists this long non-coding RNA (1341 nucleotides) under Ovis aries (sheep). RNAcentral's name for it is "lncRNA (ENSOARG00000026435.1)". The record is from RNAcentral. Lineage: Eukaryota; Metazoa; Chordata; Mammalia; Artiodactyla; Bovidae.